CAGCAGCCGCCGCGGUAAUACGUAGGGUGCGAGCGUUAAUCGGAAUUACUGGGCGUAAAGCGGGCGCAGACGGUUACUUAAGCAGGAUGUGAAAUCCCCGGGCUCAACCUGGGAACUGCGUUCUGAACUGGGUGACUAGAGUGUGUCAGAGGGAGGUAGAAUUCCACGUGUAGCAGUGAAAUGCGUAGAGAUGUGGAGGAAUACCGAUGGCGAAGGCAGCCUCCUGGGAUAAUACUGACGCUCAUGCCCGAAAGCGUGGGUAGCAGACAGGAUUAGAUACCCGGGUAGUCCCUGUCUCUUAUAC
Molecule: ribosomal RNA, 304 nt
Filed under: uncultured bacterium
Lineage: Bacteria
Description: partial 16S ribosomal RNA
Rfam family: Bacterial small subunit ribosomal RNA
Source: RNAcentral